CGGCGUUGUCGCUUUCACGACGGGAGGAAGACUCUCGCACCAUUUUCGGCGGGUCGUCGUCGGCAUUUGCUGGACUUUGCACCGUAGCGUAUAACAAGCGAUGUUGGUCAGUCAAAUAUUCAUAGUAGGGCGACGGCUGAUAAAGGUGGCACGAGUCGCGGGGCAUCGUGUAUAACGAAGCGACGCGGUCCGUGUCAAUUUACACAAGCACAACAGUAAAAACAAAGAAAACAACAUCGGAAGACAAUAGUUGAUUCUUAUAAUAUGAGAUAUUUUCCAAAAUUCGAACAAUGUUAUACGUAUGUAACAAUGGGCCCUUCUGUCGUCGGUAAUAUCGGUAAUGAGCACACUCGCCGCAAUCCAAGAAAAACACGGGAAAAACAAUGAAACACAAACAGCGCACAAGAAAAAGGCGAACCAGUCAAGGUCAACGUCGGAACCGAACAGAACGCAAUAUCAGUCAUCCAUAUUCGGCGGCGGCCUUAUCUCAGUGUCAAGGGCGGGGAGACGACCGAUUGUCAUAUUAAUAGCUGGACGGCUGAUAUCGAGAGAGCCAGUCUAAANCAAAAGGCGGUGCCGUGUCAUAAAGUUAAAAAAAAAUAUAUUAGUCAUUUUUCAAAUCCUUUUAUUUUUCUUAAUACGAAUAUUAAUGUUCAAAAAAACAAAAAUUUCCAUUAAUAUUUAAUCAUAAAUUUUUGAUACGCGAAACAAAACAUACGGCUUGACAAAGGUUAUAAAAAAAAUCUCAACAGCCAUUUUAGUGGCAUACUAAGCUCUCAUAAUAAAUUAUAUACACUAUAAGCCACAGAUUUACACAAUUUGUUGUAGAUUUAAAUACUGUAUACUUGGUUUAUUUUAGUUAUAUAUAAACCAAAUAACUAAGGACUAGAAUAAAUAAAAGUCAAGUAAUGUAAAAAAUAUAUAUUUAUUAAAUUAAUUCUGCAUUAGUGAGUGCAGUUUCUUUUCCUAUAGUACUUAAUAUGCUUGAGUAAAAAGUGACAUAAUUGUUCACUCUUAUAAUUUUGUGUUAGAAAAAAAAACUAAUUUUCAUUAUUUUCAUUUAGAUUAUACUAGUUUAAUGCCAAUAUAUAUCUUAAAUCGACGAGAAGUACGUUGUAUAAGCUGCUUCAACAAAAUAAUGGAUGCGAAUCCUUUAAACAAACAUAUAGUGAGACCAUGUGGUCAUGGUUGGUUUUGCAAUAAUUGCAUUUCACAAAACAAAUGUUUAGUAUGUAACGACACGAUUGAAGAUGUAAUAAGUGUAAAUUUAUAAAUAAAUCUAAACAAAAUAUUUUUUAUGUAAAUGAUUUUGAAAUCUGUUAAUGUUAUUUCUUUAAUUAAUAUUAUUUUGAUUCA
Long non-coding RNA from Daktulosphaira vitifoliae (grape phylloxera), 1356 nucleotides. RefSeq lists it as uncharacterized. The transcript has 2 exons. The record is from RefSeq and is a predicted model, not a curated record. NCBI's taxonomy places the organism in Eukaryota, Metazoa, Arthropoda, Insecta, Hemiptera, Phylloxeridae.